This 625-nucleotide ribosomal RNA is filed under the name uncultured Helvella. RNAcentral describes it as "eukaryotic LSU rRNA". The stretch from base 292 to 445 matches the Rfam family "5.8S ribosomal RNA". The record is from RNAcentral. Lineage: Eukaryota; Fungi; Ascomycota; Pezizomycetes; Pezizales; Helvellaceae.
AACCCCUGCCGGCGCGUUUCUCGAUCCCGUUGACUCGCGCCGCGGCGGAGACCACGCGCCGUAGGCCCCCGAGCCAGGCGGCGGUAAGUUGGCAAUCCGCCGCGAUCACGCUUGUAGGUCCGGGACCGGCGCGCCGAACCCCACUCUCCGCGUACCCGACCCCGUUGCUUCCCCGGGGAGAUCCCCGGGGGAGGUCCCCGAGCACGCCAUGCCGCCCAACCCCACCCGCGCCCCCUCCGUCUGAAGGCGAUCGAGCCUACCAACGGGGAAUCAGAUAGGUAACGAAAACAAAACUUUCAACAACGGAUCUCUUGGCUCCCGCAUCGAUGAAGAACGCAGCGAAAUGCGAUAAGUAAUGUGAAUUGCAGAAUUCAGUGAAUCAUCGAAUCUUUGAACGCACAUUGCGCCCCCCGGCAUUCCGGGGAGCAUGCCUGUUCGAGCGUCUCUGGAAAUACCCCUCACGCCGGCGGAGGCGUGGUCAUGGCGGAGGUGGCGUGCCCCGAGCGGGGAGGCCACCGCGCCGGAAUCCAUGGGCGGACGCCUGCUGCGCGGCCGAGCGUGAUAUGACGCAUUGGCGCUCGCGCGCGGCGAGGCUGCCGGCCCUGGCCCGUCCGUCGGGCGGGGA